UAUUUGAUGUCCAAAUUGAGCUAGAAUAGGAUUCUUAGUUGCCUAACUUACUAGGAUGUCCAUUAGAACUCUAAAUACUUGAGUUUAACUUGGAUCGGGAGGCUAGUUCUAAGACUCUAUUAAAACCCUCUUGGGAUAUAUUUCAAUAAUGGAAUUCUUUACUUUCUUUCAUAGAUUAGGAACCCUAGAUUAGAUUAGAAUUGAAGAUUGA
This 211-nucleotide long non-coding RNA is filed under the name Panax ginseng (ginseng). RNAcentral describes it as "long non-coding RNA (PGIN_LNC009672)". The record is from RNAcentral. Lineage: Eukaryota; Viridiplantae; Streptophyta; Magnoliopsida; Apiales; Araliaceae.